This 73-nucleotide transfer RNA is filed under the name Stegodyphus mimosarum. It matches the Rfam family "tRNA". From Rfam's summary of the family: Transfer RNA (tRNA) molecules are approximately 80 nucleotides in length. Their secondary structure includes four short double-helical elements and three loops (D, anti-codon, and T loops). Lineage: Eukaryota; Metazoa; Arthropoda; Arachnida; Araneae; Eresidae. The record is from Rfam by way of RNAcentral.
GCUUUCGUGGUGUAAUGGUGAGCACAUUCGGUGCGUAUUUCAGAGGUCCGAGGUUCGAGUCCUGGUGAGGGCA